This 897-nucleotide ribosomal RNA is filed under the name uncultured bacterium. RNAcentral's name for it is "bacterial SSU rRNA". It matches the Rfam family "Bacterial small subunit ribosomal RNA", at positions 1 to 894 of the family's 1533-position model. The record is from RNAcentral.
UAGAGUUUGAUCCUGGCUCAGGAUGAACGCUAGCUACAGGCUUAACACAUGCAAGUCGAGGGGCAGCAUGCAGGUAGCUUGCUAUCUGUGAUGGCGACCGGCGCACGGGUGAGUAACGCGUAUCCAACCUUCCCCGUAGUAGGGCACAGCCCGGCGAAAGUCGGAUUAAUUCCCUAUGUUCUUGACAGCAGACAUCUAACGUCAAGCAAAGAUUCAUCGCUAUGGGAUGGGGAUGCGCCUGAUUAGCUUGUUGGCGGGGCAACGGCCCACCAAGGCAACGAUCAGUAGGGGUUCUGAGAGGAAAGUCCCCCACAUUGGAACUGAGACACGGUCCAAACUCCUACGGGAGGCAGCAGUGAGGAAUAUUGGUCAAUGGCCGUAAGGCUGAACCAGCCAAGUAGCGUGCAGGAGGACGGCCCUAUGGGUUGUAAACUGCUUUUGUACGGGGACAAAGUGUGCGACGUGUCGCCCAUUGCGGGUACCGUACGAAUAAGGACCGGCUAAUUCCGUGCCAGCAGCCGCGGUAAUACGGAAGGUCCGGGCGUUAUCCGGAUUUAUUGGGUUUAAAGGGAGCGCAGGCCGCCUGUCAAGCGUGUUGUGAAAUGUAGGGGCCCAACCCCUGAGUUGCAGCGCGAACUGGCGGGCUUGAGUACGCACAACGCUGGUGGAACUCGCCGUGUAGCGGUGAAAUGCUUAGAUAUGGCGAAGAACUCCGAUUGCGAAGGCAGCUGGCGGGGGCGCAACUGACGCUCGUGCUCGAAAGUGCGGGUAUCGAAAAGGAUUAGAUACCCUGGUAGUCCGCACGGUAAACGAUGGAAGGCCGCUAUGCGUACAAUGGUAUGCGUGGCCACAGCGAAAGCGCUUAAGCAUCCCACCUGGGGAGUCGCCCGCCGGCGG